This 1100-nucleotide ribosomal RNA is filed under the name Sphingobacterium sp. M428. RNAcentral describes it as "bacterial SSU rRNA". It matches the Rfam family "Bacterial small subunit ribosomal RNA", at positions 28 to 1122 of the family's 1533-position model. Lineage: Bacteria; Pseudomonadati; Bacteroidota; Sphingobacteriia; Sphingobacteriales; Sphingobacteriaceae. The record is from RNAcentral.
GAUGAACGCUAGCGGCAGGCCUAAUACAUGCAAGUCGGACGGGAUCCGUCGGAGAGCUUGCUCGAAGACGGUGAGAGUGGCGCACGGGUGCGUAACGCGUGAGCAACCUACCUCUAUCAGGGGGAUAGCCUCUCGAAAGAGAGAUUAACACCGCAUAAUAUCAACAGUUGGCAUGUUCGGUAGAUUAAAUAUUUAUAGGAUAGAGAUGGGCUCGCGUGACAUUAGCUAGUUGGUAGGGUAACGGCUUACCAAGGCGACGAUGUCUAGGGGCUCUGAGAGGAGAAUCCCCCACACUGGUACUGAGACACGGACCAGACUCCUACGGGAGGCAGCAGUAAGGAAUAUUGGUCAAUGGGCGGAAGCCUGAACCAGCCAUGCCGCGUGCAGGAUGACUGCCCUAUGGGUUGUAAACUGCUUUUGUCCAGGAAUAAACCUAGAUACGUGUAUCUAGCUGAAUGUACUGGAAGAAUAAGGAUCGGCUAACUCCGUGCCAGCAGCCGCGGUAAUACGGAGGAUCCGAGCGUUAUCCGGAUUUAUUGGGUUUAAAGGGUGCGUAGGCGGCCUAUUAAGUCAGGGGUGAAAUACGGUGGCUCAACCAUCGCAGUGCCUUUGAUACUGAUGGGCUUGAAUCCAUUUGAAGUGGGCGGAAUAAGACAAGUAGCGGUGAAAUGCAUAGAUAUGUCUUAGAACUCCGAUUGCGAAGGCAGCUCACUAAGCUGGUAUUGACGCUGAUGCACGAAAGCGUGGGGAUCGAACAGGAUUAGAUACCCUGGUAGUCCACGCCCUAAACGAUGAUAACUCGAUGUUGGCGAUAGACAGCCAGCGUCCAAGCGAAAGCGUUAAGUUAUCCACCUGGGGAGUACGCCCGCAAGGGUGAAACUCAAAGGAAUUGACGGGGGCCCGCACAAGCGGAGGAGCAUGUGGUUUAAUUCGAUGAUACGCGAGGAACCUUACCCGGGCUUGAAAGUUAGUGAAGAGUGCAGAGACGCACUCGUCCUUCGGGACACGAAACUAGGUGCUGCAUGGCUGUCGUCAGCUCGUGCCGUGAGGUGUUGGGUUAAGUCCCGCAACGAGCGCAACCCCUAUGUUUAGUUGCCAGC